Tachysurus fulvidraco (yellow catfish) is the source of this 850-nucleotide long non-coding RNA. RefSeq lists it as uncharacterized. The transcript has 4 exons. NCBI's taxonomy places the organism in Eukaryota, Metazoa, Chordata, Actinopteri, Siluriformes, Bagridae. The record is from RefSeq and is a predicted model, not a curated record.
GUUUGUUUUAACCCCAUCAGAGGAAGCAGUAUUGUAAACAAGUAAAUAUGUUUGAUUGAAUAGAUAGAGAUAGGUACUUAAAACUCGUGUUUGAUCCGGGGGGUGUUUUGCGAUAGGUCACCCCUCCCCUAAGGCCGGAUGGUUUUCAAAUCAAGAUUAUGACACCCUCCUUUGUGUUAGGAGCAUCUCUCAGUCUGAUCGUUAGUCAAUGGGGGUGCUAUCUAUAACGUCACACACGCGCAUCCUGACCAAACGCGCGUGAGAAGAAAAGUUGAUCCGGGGGGGGUGUUUUGCGAUAGCUUACCCCUCCUCUAAGGCCGGAUGGUUUUCAAAUCAAGAUUAUGACACCCUCCUUUGUGUUAGGAGCAUCUCUCAGUCUGAUCGUUAGUCAAUGGGGGGUGCUAUCUAUAACGUCACACACGCGCAUCCUGAGCGGAAACGUGCACCUGAGCGGAAACACGCGUGAGAAAAAAGGAGCAAACGCCUGAGCGGACACGCCCACACGUGUAGGUAAAAAGUGAGAAUUUUCCGAAAAUUUGGCUAUGACUUCGCGUCUUUGGAUUUUUCACAACGGAACAGAACAUCUACGAUCUUCUAAGCAUUGAGAGCACGGCCUUUUCAAUAGAACAAGGCCAGCCUAUCUGACGCAAUUGUCUGUGAAAACGUAUCAAACAAACGCGACCCUUCCAGGACAGUUGUAUUGAGAUUAUUUGCCGGCGACGAGUCUUCUACAACGCACGUGCUAGGCCUAAGAACGGGGGAACAUCCGGGGUCAAACAAUCGCGGCCCUUCCAGGACAGUUGUAUUGAGAUUAUUUCCCGCGACGAGCCUUCUACAACGCACGUGCUAG